This is a long non-coding RNA of Drosophila ananassae, 4261 nucleotides long. RefSeq lists it as uncharacterized. The transcript has 9 exons. The record is from RefSeq and is a predicted model, not a curated record. Lineage: Eukaryota; Metazoa; Arthropoda; Insecta; Diptera; Drosophilidae.
UUUAUAACUUUUUUGUGUCAUUGGUAAGAAACUCCUAUUCUUGACAAGUUUAAAUUAGCCGAAAACAUAUUUAAUUUAACCAAAUCCAAAGUUCUCAUUUGAAAAAGAAUAAUCCUAUUUGGAAUUUCCCAAUUAUAGACCCAAGAUAGUGCCACACUCCAGCUCCCCAGUAAGCUCAAUUGCCCAAGGAAGGACAACAAACAAGCCGCAGAGAGAUCUCGGCUAAAUUACGUGCCAAUCAACCACUCGGAAAAUGACAAUGGGCCCGAGACGAUAAGACGGAGACAGGACAAACUUAUUUGUUUAGCAACACGCAGGCGGCAGGACGAGGAUAAGGAAUCCUGGCGGGCGCUCUGCGACUGUGUGUUUGCUAAUUAGCACAUGUAUUCCUGGAGACAAAACUCCGGCGGCAGUGUCAACAUUUCACUUCACGUGAAGACGGAGAAGCCUGGGCUCCGUCUCGGUGGAUUAAAUUGUUUAAUUUUAAAUAUGCUCUGUCACUUCAUUUGUAAGGAUAUAACCGGCAACAGAAACGAACACGAAAAACUUUUGCCUUGAGGAAGGAAACUUCUCCUGGAGACGACGGAGAGAAAAAAUCAUUAACACGCCCGCAAGCGCAAGCCAAACGAAAGGAUAACAGAUUUUUCUGCUAAUUUGCAGGCAGACUCCUUUGUGCGUGACAUCUCGAAGUUGGGGUUGUCCUCUCGUCCUUAUAAGCCAGACACUAUCUUCCUCUUUAGAUCAACUUCUUGGCAGCUCGUUUCACUUGAGUGACGAAGCUCCAUGAGAUAAGCUCCUUGCAAAAAUGGGGAGACCUUUUGGAGAAGGAGAGGAGGUGCUCACGAAACUUUCUCAAUAAAUUGCGUUCUUCGGGUGGCACGUUGACAGUUUUGCUUAACGCUUCAUAAUCAGCAAGAAACAAAUACGUUUCCAUCUAAUUGUGUGCCCCAACAAUUAAAAGCCGAAAGGACUUAAGUCAACUAAAAACUUGAAAACCAACUACGGUUACCAUUCUUUUCUUUAACCUCCAUUAAAAGUCUGAGUCUGCCACUUCUCCAAAGGAGUACACUACACAAAAAAUAAGCUAAAAAAGUCAUGUUUAAUUGUAUAUUUUACUUAUUUUAGGAUUAAAUUUUCCCAGUGCUUUGGAAACUUUUUCAAAUGUUUUCCAAAUGCUCCAACUUACGCCUGAGUAGUUCCCAAGGAAGUAAGCCGGGAUGUCCUUUCUUUAAUCCAGCUCCUUGCCACCCGCCUUGUUGUCUGCGUGGCCUUUUAACGCUUCGCCGAUUGCACACAAGACAAAAUUAAUUGUUGAGUAAUUGAAAUUUUAUUUAUAUUAGUUUCCUUUUCUGGAGGUCCUGCCAUUUGGGAGUUGGGUGACCACUGCAGGCGGUAUCAGCUGCCUUUUGUGGACUGAAGUGUGUAAUUCUUGUUUGUCCUUGUAAUUUAGUAGCCGGAUUCGGCUUCACUGCAUUUAUUCCGCCACGGGGCUCUUUUUAUUCAAAUUUUUAUCCGAAUUUUUUGUGUGAUUCGUGGUCCAUUUUUUUGUAGUGGAAAAUCAAUUUGUCGCUUUGUUGAUGAUGUCACUUUAGGAAUUGAAAUCAUUUUUUAAAGCUGAAAGAACUGGUAUAGAAUCUUAUUUGAAGUUUCCCAUGAACUUCCUUGACUCAUCCUUUGAAAAAAUCUAAAUGGAUAUCUCUCCUCCUUCGAAACUAGUACAUUUCCCUAAGCUUACAAAGUACCCAUCGACUGCUCUCUCUGUUAAUGCGUUUUAAUUUAAUUUUGCAUGCCCAACCGCACCGAACACAACACAAAUGGCCGAAUACUCGAAAUAAAAAGCCAGCACCGAACAAUGUUGCACUCCACCCUCCGGAACACAUUCCGUUUUGAAAGUCCCCAGAUAUAAAGAGGUGUUCCAAAUGGGUGGGUGGCGAUUCUGGUUGGAAACUGCAGCUAAAGUGGCACUGGGAGUCAAUAAGAAUGCGAUGUGGAUGACGAUAGCUGUCAGGGGCAUAACAAGCUGGACACGACACAUUGCACAUGGACAUGAGACAGGACCUGAAAUGAACUGAGCCGAGGAGUGGAGUGGCUCUGGAAGUGGGCUGGGGAUCCAACUGUUAUCAGCGGCAAGCACACACUCACAAUUUGAAUUUAGAAUUCCACAGUCAGUAAUUGAAUACUCUUUCUGUUAUUUGUAAAAUGUUAUAAAGAUGGAUCUAAGAUUGAUUUAAGGCAACUCCUCUUAACUCCCCCAAAUCCUAACUACUUCUUUGAGAAGCAACUGUACUCUAGUCUCAAGUGCAUUUCCACUGCACUCAUCUGUCAGUCCUCAAGCCCAAUGUACAAGUAGCCAUAACUUGCAAAUAUAAUGACAAAGCAAUUAAAUAUUACGGCAAUCCUGGAUGGCCAGAUCGGUCUACGUCCUCCGAAAACGUCCUUCAUCCCCGCAGUCAAACAGAAAACAAUCAAAAACGGUGUCGAGUCUUCGCUUUACAUUCCUGGGGCAGGGGUAAUAGCUUUCAAACAAUAAAUGUCCGCAAAACCAUUGACAUGGCUAGCUGAAAUGUGGGGGUGGCCAGCAGAGGGUGGAAGGAGGCAGCGAGCAGAGUGGCCAAGUCAUUAUAGAAGAGGAAGUCGGCGAAACCUGGACUGCAAAGCAAUUCAUCUAAUUUGCAUGAGCCUUGAUGGGGUUCCCAUAUGUGCACUUAGAAAAAAGCUCCAGAAAAACAAAGUGCACCUGCUUGGGGUUGGCCGGCAGUCGCACAAUAAAUAAAAUUAAAAUGAUGGCAAACAAUGGACUGGACCACGGCAAAGUGGAACCGGAGACCAGGAACGGACUUAUUUGACUAUCCGUAAUGUUACACACCCACACACAUCUGUACACUCCGGCGUAAUGACCUACGAAACACAAAACAGAAAAUAGCUGCAAAAAACAAGGCUAUGACCAACAACAGGAGCGAGCAAAAUUGAAAAAGGAAAUUGUUUGUAACUGCGAAACGAGUUUAUUAUUUUGGCACCCUUUCGCAAUGGUCACAGCCCCAUCCCCAGCAAGUCUGACCACUGUCCCCCCGGACAUUAAAAGAAAUCGCGAGUUUUCCAUAUGCCUUUCGGGCGCAUGGAAAAAUGCAGGAUUAUAUGGCUGAAAAGACGGAGAAGGAGCCGAAGGCAUCAUUGGAGCAGUCGAGCAUCUCAUUGGACCAUCAAAAAGUCAGACCACAAAAGGCGCCACAGUCCAUUGGUCAUUGACGCUUCAAAGGGAAAAGAGCGCCAACAACAAUGAAAAAAUGCGGCCCACCCGCUGGGAAAAUUCAACUGAACAGGCGGCAGGACGUCUUACCAAGGACCUCAUCCCCUUCCCACCAAAACCGGCUCCGAGUGGGUGGGCUUAGGUAAUACGCAUUAGUGCCACGACUGCAUAUUACGAUGUGAUUAUUAUGAUAUGCUUUAUUUUGUGGUUCAAUGAGCUGUCUGCGUCUGGGUGGCAACUUUGACGGCUUAGGGAAAUCUGCUCCCAUUUUGCUCCGCGUCCUGUUCGAUGAAUAUUUUGUGCAAAUAGCUGUGAAGAGCCAAAGUCGCCGCUAAUUGAAACAAACGCCGCCACCGAACAAAUGUCGCGGCACUCUUUUGUGGCCUUAAACUCCAUGGAUACCGUCUCAGGACUGCAGGACUCCGCCAGGACUUAAUCUCAUAAGUGUACGUUAGUCAUGCGCUGCACUCGCUUUUUGGCCAAAGUGCUUGGCCAUAAAUUUAGCAGCUGCUCGACCAUUGUUUAGCUGCCUUUGGUGCGAUUUCUCAAACGCGUCCUGGCCAUGUGUGUCCUUUAACUGUAUCCUGUGCUGGAUAGCUGCGAGUGCUGGAAAUUCGCCCUCUGACUUCUGGCUUCUGACUCAAAGGCGAGAGGUCAGUGCUGAUUACUAACGGGUAGCUUGGUUUUUUCCACAAAUUUAAAGAUCAAGAAACUCCAUACUGUCAGCCAUUUCCGUUGGAAAAUUGAGAAUACACGUCCGGGGAUCUGGCUGCCGUUCGAAAUUACAGUAAUUUUCGCUUUUGGCCAAGGGUUUGCAAAUUUAUCGGCCGCCUACGUGUGGUUGCAACCGCCACUUAAACUGCCACACGUGCAACUAGCCAUUGAACAGGAAGACGGACCCCCAUGAUUACGGUGAUUGACGUCGAAAAAGUCAAUGACAUUCGUGAUAUUGGUAAUAUCCGGAUGCAAGUGACAGAAUUAUGCGGCAGCACAGUCAUGCGUCAUUAGGUAAGG